UACGGGGGGGGCAAGCGUUGUUCGGAAUUACUGGGCGUAAAGGGCUCGUAGGUGGCCAACUAAGUCGGACGUGAAAUCCCUCGGCUUAACUGGGGAACUGCAUCCGAUACUGGAUGGCUUGAGUUCGGGAGAGGGAUGCGGAAUUCCAGGUGUAGCGGUGAAAUGCGUAGAUAUCUGGAGGAACACCGGUGGCGAAGGCGGCAUCCUGGACCGACACUGACGCUGAGGAGCGAAAGCCAGGGGAGCAAACGGG
This 253-nucleotide ribosomal RNA is filed under the name uncultured bacterium. RNAcentral's name for it is "partial 16S ribosomal RNA". It matches the Rfam family "Bacterial small subunit ribosomal RNA", at positions 524 to 776 of the family's 1533-position model. The record is from RNAcentral.